Molecule: unclassified non-coding RNA, 21 nt
Filed under: Mus musculus (house mouse)
Lineage: Eukaryota; Metazoa; Chordata; Mammalia; Rodentia; Muridae
Description: oocyte_clustered_small_RNA13612
Source: RNAcentral
CGCAUUCCCCUCAGAGCUUUG